GGGGCUGGGCAGGAGGAGGGUGCAGUGCAAUCAGUGCACUCCCCUCCUGUGGGUCACCAGUAGACUGGUGCACCUGCCCAGGAUCAGAGCCGGUGCAAGGAUUUUUGCCGCCCUAGACAAAAUAAAAAUUUCCUGCCCCCCCCAUGUGACAUCACAAUGCCCCACCCAUAUGAACUAACGCCAGUGCUGCACACAGUGUGUGUUUACAUUAAAAAGCCUGCAGGGACCAGCUAUAGACACCAAAACCACUUCAUUAAGCUAUAGUGUCCC
Non-coding RNA from Pelobates cultripes (western spadefoot toad), 270 nucleotides. NCBI's taxonomy places the organism in Eukaryota, Metazoa, Chordata, Amphibia, Anura, Pelobatidae. The record is from the annotation of a GenBank genome assembly.